ACAAGCCAUCCUAUAUGGUAUACGAAGUAAGUUUUUAGUAUUUGGAACACUCUAAUCAUGAGAACAUCGGUAUUGUGUUCGGCAUUCGUUCUAAUCAUUUGCUGUAACUGUGCGACUUGGUUCAAAAACAAGUAUACCGACACGAAUCGGGCUGUCCCGGGCCACGUCGUAUAUUCUACACCUUCCAUCGGGUGCUCUUUGACUGUACUAGGGUAUACACCAGGUGCCCACAGGAGUAUCAGCAAAACGAAUAUAAAACCAGGGGCGAUUGCCGGAAUGAUUGCUAUUACUAUACAAAGCCUAUCUUAAGUACAGAUCCACCAGGGAACGGUACCAACAAUAACAAUACCAACACUAACAAUACCAAUGGUAACAAACCUCGCAAAUUCCAACCGCUCGUACCCAAGCUCAAACUCAAACCGCCUCCUGAAGUUAAAUCUGUUAAAAAUAAUACUUUCGGUGAGGAAUAUCCCUCAUACCCCGAUGAACGAGCUCCUCCGUUUGAGCCUCCUGCGUUUGGAUCUCCCCGAUUUGAUUACUCCCCCUUUGAUGAUUUUCCUUACUAACUUAGUAUUAGACACGGUUCCAAAAUCAUGAGGC
Molecule: unclassified non-coding RNA, 600 nt
Filed under: Drosophila ananassae
Lineage: Eukaryota; Metazoa; Arthropoda; Insecta; Diptera; Drosophilidae
Description: GF27106
Source: RNAcentral